Molecule: long non-coding RNA, 1731 nt
Organism: Neopsephotus bourkii (Bourke's parrot)
Lineage: Eukaryota; Metazoa; Chordata; Aves; Psittaciformes; Psittacidae
Exons: 3
Source: RefSeq, a predicted model, not a curated record
CAAGGAAGACCAUGAAGUUUUGUAAGCUCCAGCUGUUUGAAUCCAAGAGACCAUGCACCCUACCCUUCUAUGCCAGCCACCUGCACUUCUCAUAGACAUGGUCUGAGAGCUUCCAGGGCAUCCCUAUGGCUCCAUGACAAGAAGAUCGAAACAGUGGCUACAGAGGACUCCCUGAGAUCUGCAUGCUCAAGGUGACCUAUGCAAAAAGAGGUUUUAUAAUGAAGCCACAAUAAUUAGGCUGUCACAGUCCAGUUUGGGGCUAUUGUGUCGUUGUCCUUUCCAUGGCUCACCUUAGCCUGACUGGAAUUCUAAAACCCUUAUAUAUUAUCUCCCAUAACACUUAGAAAGGUAUUAAAAAUGUGUGCAGUACUGGCAGAAGCAAGCUUUCUAAUUAUUGUCAACUAUUUCCAGUGUGACGUGGCAGAUUCCCUUGAGAACUGAAACAACAGCCCACUCCAGGAUUUGUAAUAGGCCCUAGAGCCUAAGUAAUUGUAGACAGAGCUGUUUCCCUCAGGAUAGAUAAUUGGUUUACAUAGCAGCUCAACAUCUGAACUAAAUCCUUUUUUUUUUCUAUUGUCAUUUCCCUGUUAAAUAUACAUAACUAUUUGGGAUAUUAAAUACAAUGCAAUUCACUAUUUAAUAGCAGAACAAUUUGCAUGAGCUACUUUACCUGGAAUGCUAAUAACUGUUAUCACCCUACAUUUUCAUGCAUAAAUGAUAAAAUAUUAUUAAGGUGAAAUGCUGUACUCCUUAAUCAAGCACAACUUCCACUGAAGCCACUGGGAGAUUUGCUCAAUUAAAUAUUGCAAAACAUAUUUCUUAGUUUGUUGAAAGUAAGAUAUCAUCAUUAAAAUAUUCUACCUAAUGUUAUUAUUGGUCAGCUUAUUAAAUGGGACCAUAUUAAUGUUUUUGCAGGUAUAACCAACACUGUAGGGUGCUGAUCUAUUAUCAUCAGUUUAUAAACCACUUUUAUAAAAUGCGCAAUUACCAGAAUUAAUGAUUAAGAUACAAAUAUAUUUACUGUCACUGGUAAUAACAUGAUUCUAACAACUAAAUGUCCUUAGUCUGAGUUGCUAUAUAUGUAAGAGAGAUACGGAGCUUAUUCUUAAAACAGAUUUUACUUUCCGUUUGCAAAUCUAGGACUAGUACAUACAAAAUUCUUUUAAAAACAUGUAAAAAGACACUGCAGUGGUAGCGAUUUCUUUCUUUAACAAAGGGUGCCUUACUAUUUCAUGUAGUAGAAAAAAGAAAACAAUUGCAGAACAUUAGAAUAAAACUUAUUUGCUCAUUUUUUCAAGGAGCAUAACAAGAUCCUGAGCUUGCAAGUACUGAGUACUUCAGAAAUUCAGGAUGCUCAGAAAUCACAAGACUGCCUCCUGAUCCUUGUGGUUAAGUAUAAUACCCAGCUGUGCAAUGCAGCUAGAGGUUUCAUGUCUUUGACACUAAAUUUUGUCAUAUUGGAGUUGAAGAAGCAGGACCCUAGUAACAAGACUCAUCUUGCAUUUUCUAUUCCUUCACUGAUUUCAGUGAAUAUCCUGGGUGCACGAAAAAUUAGCAUUGUGCCUGUAGCUUGUUACCUGACAUAUACAAGAACUGAAAACACCACAUAUAUUUCUACUGUCCAUCAUUCAUCACAAGCUCAAAAAUCACAUGGAAGCUGUGAUAUCUGAAGUGCUCAUUCGUCACUCUGUGUCUGAUAUUAAGAUGCUGUUGCCAGGUAUUUUCUGUCCC